RNAcentral lists this ribosomal RNA (36 nucleotides) under Metschnikowia pulcherrima. RNAcentral describes it as "partial 28S ribosomal RNA". Lineage: Eukaryota; Fungi; Ascomycota; Pichiomycetes; Serinales; Metschnikowiaceae. The record is from RNAcentral. RNAcentral also lists the same sequence under 14 other names.
UACCCGCUGAACUUAAGCAUAUCAAUAAGCGGAGGA